UAUCGGAACGUGCCCUGGAGUGGGGGAUAACUAGUUGAAAGACUAGCUAAUACCGCAUACGAUCUACGGAUGAAAGUGGGGGAUCGCAAGACCUCAUGCUCGUGGAGCGGCCGAUAUCUGAUUAGCUAGUUGGUGGGGUAAAGGCCUACCAAGGCAUCGAUCAGUAGCUGGUCUGAGAGGACGACCAGCCACACUGGGACUGAGACACGGCCCAG
RNAcentral lists this ribosomal RNA (215 nucleotides) under uncultured bacterium. RNAcentral describes it as "partial 16S ribosomal RNA". It matches the Rfam family "Bacterial small subunit ribosomal RNA", at positions 116 to 334 of the family's 1533-position model. The record is from RNAcentral.